Molecule: ribosomal RNA, 789 nt
Filed under: Triticum aestivum (bread wheat)
Lineage: Eukaryota; Viridiplantae; Streptophyta; Magnoliopsida; Poales; Poaceae
Description: partial small subunit ribosomal RNA
Source: RNAcentral
AUGAAAUGCCUAUUUUGGAAUAUCAGGGGUAUCACCACGUUUGGUAAAAAACCCCAUAUUAUUGAUACUUUAAAUAAAACCAAAGCAGACAUCAUUGCCUUCCAGGAAACCAAGAAAGAGGAGCUCUCUGCUGCCUUUUUGAAAUCCAUUAGUGGCAAUAGAUGCUUUGAAUGGCAUCACCUCCCUGCCUUGGGUACUGCAGGAGGGAUUUUGAUGGGAGUAGACUUAGAUAUCUUUGACAUUUUGGAGUGGGAUGCCAAGAAGUUCUCAGUGUCCUGUACCCUUACUUUAAAAUCUACUCAGAAGAAGAUUAGGGUGGUAGCUGUAUAUGGGUCCCCUUAUGAGGAAGGCAAGGAGGAGUUUAUUUCUGAACUUCACUCUCUCCUGCUAGAUAUUGACACUCCAACUCUGAUUGGUGGAGAUUUCAAUUUUACUAGGUAUCAUAGUGACAAGAACAAUGGUAAAGUAGACCAGAAAUGGUGUGAUAAAUUCAAUGCUUGGAUAGAAAUCUGGAGCCUGCUAGAAAUUAAAAUGUCUGGCAGGCAAUUUACCUGGGCCAACAACCAGGAUAACCUUGUCAUGUCCAUCAUAGAUAGAAUUUUUUGUACCACUGAGCUAGAUGAGAUUUUUCCCCUCAACUCAUCUCAGGCCCUCCCUAGGGUUUGCAGUGACCACACCCCUUUGCUUUGGGACUCAGGGGUUGGCACUGUACCCAAGGCCUCUAGCUUCAAAUUUGAGAAGUGGUGGCUCCUCAUUGACAAUUUUAAGGAGCUGGCUGCUAAAUGCUAG